AACGCACCUUGCGCUCCUUGGUAUUCCGAGGAGCAUGCCUGUUUGAGUGUCAUUUAAUUCUCAACCACAAAGGCUUUUGCGAGCUUUUGUGGAUUGGACGUGGGGGUAACUGCAGGCCUUCCCAGGUCAGCUCCCCUAAAAUGCAUUAGCGGAACCGUUUGCGGUAACCAGUCGCCAGGUGUGAUAAUUAUCUACGCCAAUAGACAUGAACUGCUCUCUGUUGUUCUGCUUCAAAUUGUCUUGCUAGACAACUUUUGAAUGUUUGACCUCAAAUCAGGUAGGACUACCCGCUGAACUUAA
This 300-nucleotide unclassified non-coding RNA is filed under the name Lepiota sp. Its description in RNAcentral is "partial contains 5.8S ribosomal RNA, internal transcribed spacer 2, and large subunit ribosomal RNA". The stretch from base 1 to 52 matches the Rfam family "5.8S ribosomal RNA", at positions 103 to 154 of the family's 154-position model. RNAcentral also lists the same sequence under 2 other names. Lineage: Eukaryota; Fungi; Basidiomycota; Agaricomycetes; Agaricales; Agaricaceae. The record is from RNAcentral.